UUACUUUGUCAAAGAUUACAAAAAUUCAUCAAGUUGAAGGUUUUGUAUUCAAUUUCAUGGUCAGAUCAAAGGCUUAUUUCAGCAUUUACUAAACCAAGCAAAAAGACAAAAAGCUAGCAAAGGAAACAAAUUCAGCCGCGUGAUAGGAAAAAUGGUAUGGCUUAAUUUGAUUGCUUGAUGUUGAUGUUAAUGUUGAAAAUCGUAAUUAUUUUAGCAAGAUAAUUUCUGUUCUUGGAGGUAUAUGAUCAACUAGAGUUAGAUUUAUAUAGACAAAAGAAUUGUACAUCUUCCUGUUUUUCCUCCUUUAUGUCCAAACUUUUAGGUUAAUUAAAUUUGUUCUUUGAAUGUUUCAGCUUAAUUAAGUAUCUGCUGCAUGAAAUUUAUAUGCUAAUCUUUUCAAGUGGUUAUAUUUUUUUUAUAUAAAUGUGUAAAUGGAAAGUAGGCAGAGAGCUUGAAUGGCAUUGUAGGAUGCACAAUGCCAAUAUCCAGGAAUUUUCAGAUGUUUUAAUUGGAUGAUUGUUGAAUCUUAAGUUGGAAAUUAGCUAGAUCAUGCUAAAAGUCGAAGCAUUUAUAAAUCUGAGUUUCUUGUUUAUAAGCUAAGGCUUGUUCGGCAAAAGUUGUAGUAUGUAGCUAGUUUAUGUUAUCUAUUAGAAGUUAGCUAUCAAAUGAAUGAACUACUAAGUAUAUUAUCUUAAAGUUCCAAAAUAUACAGUACAUCAACCUUUAAAAUUUAUCAUUGAAUAAUUUUUUACUAAACAACAAGGCCACAUUUCACCUGUAGUAAUGUUUUGACUUGGUCAAAACCCUUAGAGUUACUAGUUGUUGUGUAAGAAACCCUUAACGUACUCACUUUUGUCAGAUCUAUUAAAACGCGUAGAUGAAAAGUAUAAUGUCCUUUUUGGAUUGUUUUUUUGUCGGCCACAUAAUAUAAAUAGCUUUAUAUCUUGAUAUGGAUCCGGUUUUUUUUAAUUUUUAUGUGCUUGACAUUAUUAAGCAUGGAUGAGCCUUUUGUAAUUAAUACUUCAAGAUCCUUUAGGAUCAACAAUUAUAACCAAAAAAAACUAAAGGAUAGUGUACGUGCCGUUCAAAAACACCUUAAGGCAAAAAUAAAAGAACCCGAUCUCUUAAUUAGACAAUCUAAAUUAAAGUUAGCUAUUCGAGAUUUCAAAAUGGUGGCUAUUUAGAAAUCUAGACUAGGGAUGAUUGCUUUUAGUAAGAAGCAUUUUUAAGCCUAGGCAUCUUAUCAUAGGAUUCAUAUCCCCUAACAUAAAUUACAUGACCAAUAAUUUACUGUUGACCUUGUAAAACCUAAUAAGGACAAUUAUAGAACCCCCAUCUACAUAAAUAUAGCAGAUCCCUAAGAAAACCAAUUACCAAGAUAAUAAAAGCCACAUAUCAUACAAUUAAUAAUAAUAUAAUUAAGCUAUUAUAUAUCUUCUUAAUUAAAUUGAUUGUGUGCUUUCUUUAGUUCAUACUGGUGAGCUAGCUACUUACCUAUAGUAUAGUAACAAGAAUAUAUUGAUCAUUGAGAUUAAUUUAGGAGGAGUUAGGUUUGUCUCUAAUUAUCCCUACAAAACGAGGAGAACGAGUUUCAUUAAUAGCAUAUAAAGUAUAAUUUUGCUUUCUAAUAUUAAUGUUUUGGUCAAAUUAAGUACAUGCUGCCUAACCAAAUCAAAACACGGCAUGCCAAAUCUAGGAGCAUCGGAGUUCAUAAGCUUAUCUUGGAGGAAGGAUGAAGUUUGUUAAUGCCUAAUAAUGGGUUAGUUCUUGAUGGAGUAUCCCAAAGGCGGGCGUUGAAUUAUUGACACUUCGACCUAGGCAUGGACACUUGAUUUUGGACCAAAACCUUGAUAGUUGUGUAUUGGAUACAUUAGUUCUUGUUUACAAUCAAUCAUUCCCUAAUUAAGCUCCUUAAUAUAUAAAAGCUUCAUACAUAAUUAGUCCCUCUUAUAACCAAAGUAAGCCUUAAAAUUUCAGGGAGGUACCAAGCACCUAUGAAAGAAAGAUCAAGCAUAGUACAUACAAUUCAGAUCAGUUAGAUCAGAUACCUAAUUAAGCUACUCAAAAUCGGUUUUGUCAUCAAACUAGAUGAUUUGAUAACGUAUACACAGAAGAUUAAUUUUUGGUAUGAUGCUGAUUAAAUCGAAAAUAAACUAUUUACUGAAGAAACUGAAAGAAAGAUUAGGGUUAACAACAAAGUAAUGAGGAAAAACCUUUAUGACAAAAAGAUGUCAGGUAAAAAAAGAUCCUUAAGUCAAAGCUUUAGGUCUUUGUAAUUAAAUCCAAUUAUAAAGCUAAUUAAAGCUUAAAUUCUUGAAAAAACCACAUUAUUAUUAUAAUUAUUGAUUGAUCUAACAUCUUCCAUGACUACUACAGAGAUCUAAGAAAACAUUACUAUAGGAGGCAGAUAAUACGAAAUUAGGGUUUCGAUCUAAAAGGUAUCAACAAAUAUUUAUCUAGAAUCUAAGGUAGAGAGAUUUAUAUAGGGAUUCUAUUUAAUCAUUGUAAUCAAAGCUCAUGCUUUGAUCAACGAAAAAAAAAAAAAAA
Chenopodium quinoa (quinoa) is the source of this 2547-nucleotide long non-coding RNA. RefSeq lists it as uncharacterized. Lineage: Eukaryota; Viridiplantae; Streptophyta; Magnoliopsida; Caryophyllales; Amaranthaceae. The transcript has 2 exons. The record is from RefSeq and is a predicted model, not a curated record.